AAGUUUUCAUAUUUUACAAGAAAAUUGUUCAACUGAAAUCGGUUAUAAAUCUGAGUAUUUCAAAAACACAUAUUAUUUAUUAUUUACAAACUUAUUUUUCCUUCGCCUAGUGGAAAAUAGUCCAAAGAAUACGAAAAUGCAUUCCGUCUUCCGAUUUUAAAUGUUUAUUGAGAAAAUCAUGAUACUUUGAGAAGCUUGAAAUAAUGCUUUUCCUCAAUAUUUUUUUAAUUAUAGUUAACUAACUUUUUAAACUUUUCAAAAUUUUAUGAAAAGUUCUUCUUGAGGUACAUUGAAGACUUCUCUACCACGGACAGUAUGAUCCUAAACCAUUCCGUACGUAUUAAAUUUGUACUAUUCAUUUUGCGGAAAAAUCUCAAACCUAUCAAAGUCACCCCGGCUACCAAAGUCACCCCGUUUUACGGUAUAUAUAUAUAAACAAGCUCUUCCCGGCAAACUUCGUCCUGCCCUUUUUUUGGUUUCCUGACGUUUCUGGCUUGUUUGCUAAUUCAGCCUCCUUUGAUCAAAAUUUGAUUUUACGUGACUUUCCCCAUACAAUCUGCAGUUUUUCCGGAAUCGGUUCCAGAGUGGCCAAAGUGUCAAUUAGUUAGCGUAUGAACCUUCCUUGGGCUUAUACGAACCCAACGCAACAAAGAGCACCUCGAUCCGACGCUCCGUAUUGAACUGAUUCGCGUUCGAACAAAACCGUCGAAAUUUUUUAUAUAUAUAGAUAGAUUUACUUUUAACGUUUUAAUCAAUUCCAAUCUAUGAUAUGAUUAUUUGCAUACAGAAAACAAAACAACUUUCUGUUUUUGGUAUAUUUUCUCACUUUUCAUAUAAUUUUUACAGUUAUACUUCUUUUUGGUUAUUCGAUUGAUUUUUCUAUGGAAAAGGUAGUAAUAAUCACAAAAUGUUAGUUUCCUUUACCGUACGAUUCGUGGUGACAUCUGCGUAAUCUGCCGGAAGUUAUGCAAUCCGCGUGCUACAACCCACCCUUUGGGAAACAGAGCUCUGUGUCGCGCGACUUGCUGCAUAUGUUGCAUAGUGAAUGGCGUGACAUGUGUUAUUUGAAAAACAUAAACUUUAUUUUGAAAAUAACAUUAAGCACAAAUUAGAAUAAAUUUUGAAAACUAUACCACAAAUUUUGCACAAAUUUUCUCUAUCAUUUGCCAUACUUGGUUUUUAAGGGGGGUCAUAUGCUCCACCCAACUUGCAGGUAAAAAUCGAAAAUUUGAAUUUUCCAUGGUUUUUGAAAAUGCACAAUUUUUUUCAAUAGUGUCACAAAUUCUCCACAAAUUUUCCACAAAUUAUGACGUUUUCGGUUUUUGAAAGUAACGACUUGGUCCGCCCAACUUGUAGGUAAAAAUUUGAUUUGUUAAUAACUUCUCAAAAGUUCAGUGCACAAAUUUUAUUUUUAUUGCACAAAUUUUCCACAAAUUUUCCACAAAUUAUGGACUAUUUAGUUUUCAAAAGGCUGACUUGGUCCCCCUAACUUGUAUAGACUCUAUUUUGAAAUCUGGGGUGACUUUGAUCAGAAUCAGUUUUGAAGUGUUCAAAUGUUAGUUUUACGUCUAUAGUUUUCACAUUUUAUAUGAAAUUUGUUCUACUGAAAAUGGCCAAAAAUUUUGAGAAUUUUCGAAUUGUGUUCCAAAAUUACAUUUAAAAAAAUAUUUACAAACUAAUUUAGUCAUCUCUUAGUGUUUUUUUUUCGAUUUGAAUUUAUUUUUAUUGAGAAACUUUGAUUGAUUGACACUUUGAUAAAAUUAAACUAAUGACUAAUGUCAAAUCUUAACUUUAAUUUACUGACUUUUUGAAAAUUUCAAAAUUUUCAAAAUUUUAUUGAAACUACUUCUUCAAAUACUUUGAACACUUCUCUACCACGGCCUGUAUAAUGCCAUACCAUUCCGUACGAAUUUAAUUUGUCCUCUUCAUUGAGCGGAAAAAUUUCAAACCUAUCAAAAUCACUCCGGUUUGCGGUAAAUAAAAGGCAAGGCAUGAAAUUCAUGCCUUACCUUUUAUGUCGAUACUAGUUCAUGUCAUGAACAAAUAUGAUUUAAAACCUCAAUAUGAAAAUAAAAAAGUUAGUUAAAGCCAAAGCAAACCUGUUCAAAUGGUAAAAAUGAUUAUACGCUCUUUUCUCGCGUUGUUCAAAUAAAUAAUAUAUUUGUACAGAUUUUUUGCCAAGUACAUACAAAUUAAACGUGGCUUGGGGGGCUUGGGCUGAAAAGUAAAUUCAGUCACAGGGGUAGUCGACAUUCGCGACGUUCUCGCAUGGCUUCUACCUGCUUCUACCAAAGGUAUACUUCCUUGACGUUCUCGCGCGCGUUCUGUAAAACAAAAAGAAGAAGCUAUCUGUCAAAAUACUCUCCGAUUCGCUGCGCCAAAUUUUCGCGUAAAAUUGCCGGUUCCUCUCAAUUUCGUAACAAGCAGCUCCACCGACGCCAGUGCCAGGGCAGGCUUUUCACAAAAAAUAACAACAUCCGGAGGGCAAAUACACAGCCAAAAAUUUUCAGUGAUGUCCGUUUCAUAACUGCCGCCAUCAACAAAUCUUUGCCGGGCCCGAUCGGGUUGGACAAGUGCUGGUGGAGGACGAGGGUAAUGUGACGAUCACGAACGACGGAGCCCCCAUCCUGCGCCUGGUCGAGGUCGAGCAACUGGCCACAAUGUGCUCUUUACGUUGGUCCAGCUACAGAACGAGACGUUCGAUGGAAGAACCACAUCGGUUGACAGCAUCGUCGCCGAGCUACUGGUGAAACAGAAGAUUCCCCUCACGUCAAUUAUCUAUCCGGCCUGCAAGGUGGACGAUUUGGGUCGUUUAAUGGAGGGCGAGAAACGCUUCGAAACCAGCUACGGCGUUGAAGCCGCUCAAAACGAGCUGAUCCUGAUCAAUGGAACGUGGAGUUCGUUGGAACUGCAGGUCAUCGCUGAUGAUGGCUCCAGAUUAUCCGCCGUCACCGCUGCCAAGAACGACACCGAUUGCAUGGCCAGAUUCUAUUGCAACUUGCAACAAUUGGCCGGGGCUUAAUUCUACAGGUCACAUUGCACGACAAUUACAGUGGUUUGAAGCCGGAGGUACCGGUCGACGCUGGGAAGAAAUGCAUGAUGCACAAACACACGCCGUGGAGUCCCGACGUUGCGCCGCUCUGCCUGUUCCGGGCUAGCUGUGCGCGAGGUCACAUGAUCACAAUCUUCGUCGAGCUGGUUCCUGCAGAGAGAUGCUGUUUAAACAGCAGUACAUCAUCAUG
Molecule: long non-coding RNA, 3242 nt
Organism: Culex pipiens pallens (northern house mosquito)
Lineage: Eukaryota; Metazoa; Arthropoda; Insecta; Diptera; Culicidae
Exons: 3
Source: RefSeq, a predicted model, not a curated record